AGCCAUUACACAGCCUCCUAACACUCACCUCACACACUUAGAAAUUUUAUCGGUUUUUUGGAAAUUUCUCUCACACAUAUGAACAACAAGAACGUUUUGAGAGAGAAAGCACAGGGGUUCUAAACUCUCAAAAUGACACCCCAAAGGUCCUAUUUAUAGCCACGGAUUAUAUGCAAACCCCUUGACAAGUGCCCAUUCAUGUGUCCCCACAAAAGCUCCAUUUUCAUGCAUUGGUUGUAUCUGAUGACUUUCGUUUGGCUUUAUUUCACUCGAUUACCGAUUUUGACCAUAUCGACCAAAAAUGUGUUCCUCUGAACCAACUUGGUUUUGACUCGACAAAACUCCAUAUCAUGUCUCCAAAUACCUUAGAAAAUGUUCCUAGGUUAACUCCUGGAAUCACAUUUGUCAUCUUUGCCCUUUGGCCGCUACCAAAACUCUGCGUCGACCAUCUCCAAAACCUUUAUCGACCAUUUGUUGUUUCGCCUGUACCAACUUGAUUCUGAAUCGAUCCAGUGUCUUCAUUUGAUCCAUAAAGAUGAUUAGCAUUGAGCCUUACUUGAUUUUCUGACAU
This 571-nucleotide long non-coding RNA is filed under the name Brassica napus (rape). RNAcentral's name for it is "long non-coding RNA (BNAP_LNC025728)". Lineage: Eukaryota; Viridiplantae; Streptophyta; Magnoliopsida; Brassicales; Brassicaceae. The record is from RNAcentral.